GCCCGGGUGGCGAAACUGGCUAGACGCACUACCUUGAGGUGGUAACGCCCUAUAUGGGCAUGGAGGUUCGAAUCCUCUCCCGGGCA
This 86-nucleotide transfer RNA is filed under the name bacterium. Its description in RNAcentral is "tRNA-Leu". It matches the Rfam family "tRNA". Rfam says of the family: Transfer RNA (tRNA) molecules are approximately 80 nucleotides in length. Their secondary structure includes four short double-helical elements and three loops (D, anti-codon, and T loops). The record is from RNAcentral.